RNAcentral lists this long non-coding RNA (831 nucleotides) under Chrysolophus pictus (golden pheasant). RNAcentral describes it as "lncRNA (ENSCPIG00010002203.1)". Lineage: Eukaryota; Metazoa; Chordata; Aves; Galliformes; Phasianidae. The record is from RNAcentral.
UCUUUGUUUUCUGAAAAUUCUUUUUUUAUUUUUCUUCUUCUUCUUCUUUUUUUAAGUGAAAUUCACAUUUCCUAUCUCUUUUGAGUGAGGCUUUGAAGCAGAAUGUAGCUCCCAAAGAAAGAUAUUUUCCAUUUUAUCGUGGCUGAAAAACCAAAUGUAAAUGCUGGUGCUUUAUAGUGCUGAGACUGCUGCAGGAGAACAUUGGUGGGGAAGUUUGCCUGUGAAUUUUCAAAAAGGCUGAAGAUGUGCAGUGCUGGUAAACCUGAGCCAUCACCUGACUCCUCAUUUCAGAAAAGCGUUCCAAGUUCAUCAUCAUUCCCCAUGAAGGUAACACAUCCGUGGUGCAAAGCUUCGGAGAAGCGUUUCAAGGCGAAACACCAUGAGCAUUGAUCUAAGACUCAGCUUUCUGCUCCGCAGGCCGAGUCCUCUGGAACUCCGGCUUGCCUGCUCCCAGGAGAGGGCAGUGGAGCCGCACACGCUCCGUGCCGCGGCCGGCGGGCCGCUCCGUUCCUGCGGGGCUGCGCGAGGCAUGCAUCCUAAGACAACAAGGAGCCUUGGCUGAAAACAGCAGAGUGUGGUUUUAAGUGACUGGAGAAGCAUUGAAACUGGAACAUCACCAAAGGCACUGAAACAAAAACUGAGCAAUUGAGACAGCCUUUCUCAGCUGGGCGCAAGGUGGUGCAGGACUAGAGCGGAGCCUGUGAGGCAGAUGACAGCACUUGAGACCACCACGGAGGUAAGUCCGCGCUCCGUAGAGACACCUGAGCACAUGCUGUAAUGGACUCAAGCCUUUAAAUAUUGUGAUCUGCAGUUAAAAAUGCAAGGUGGAAA